AAGAGUUUGAUCCUGGCUCAGGACGAACGUUGGCGGCGUGCUUAACACAUGCAAGUCGAGCGGGGCUUAGUGGAAAGUUUACUUUUUACUUAGUCUAGCGGCGGUCUGCCUGUAAGACAGGGAUAACGCCGGGAAACCGGUGCUAAUACCGGAUAACCUCUUUGGACCGCAUGGUCUGAAGAGAAAAGGUGGCCUCUUUACAAUGCUACCACUUACAGAUGAAUCCGCGUCCCAUUAGCCAGUUGGUGGGGUAAUGGCCUACCAAAGCGACGAUGGGUAGCCGGCCUGAGAGGGUGACCGGCCACACUGGAACUGAGAUACGGUCCAGACUCCUACGGGAGGCAGCAGUGGGGAAUCUUCCGCAAUGGGCGAAAGCCUGACGGAGCAACGCCGCGUGAGCGAAGAAGGUCUUCGGAUUGUAAACUCCUGUCUUCUGGGACGAUAAUGACGGUACCAGAGGAGGAAGCCACGGCUAACUACGUGCCAGCAGCCGCGGUAAUACGUAGGUGGCAAACGUUGUCCGGAAUUACUGGGCGUAAAGGGCGAGUAGGUGGUUUAUUAAGUCAAGAGUGAAAACUCCAGGCUCAACUUGGAGACUGCUCCUGAAACUGGUAGACUUGAGUGCAAGAGAGGGAAGUGGAAUUCCUAGUGUAGCGGUGAAAUGCGUAGAUAUUAGGAGGAACACCAGUGGCGAAGGCGACUUCCUGGCUUGUAACUGACACUGAGGCGCGAAAGCGUGGGGAUCAAACAGGAUUAGAUACCCUGGUAGUCCACGCCGUAAACGAUGAGUGCUAGGUGUCGGGGGUAUCGACCCCUCGGUGCCACAGCUAACGCAAUAAGCACUCCGCCUGGGGAGUACGGUCGCAAGACUGAAACUCAAAGGAAUUGACGGGGGCCCGCACAAGCGGUGGAGUAUGUGGUUUAAUUCGACGCAACGCGAAGAACCUUACCAAGGCUUGACAUCCUACGAAUCCUUAGGAAACUGGUCUUGCAAGUUUACUUGCACACGGAGACAGGUGGUGCAUGGUUGUCGUCAGCUCGUGUCGUGAGAUGUUGGGUUAAGUCCCGCAACGAGCGCAACCCUUAUUGCUAGUUACCAUCAUUAAGUUGGGGACUCUAGCGAGACUGCCAGUGAUAAACUGGAGGAAGGUGGGGAUGACGUCAAAUCAUCAUGCCCCUUAUGACCUGGGCUACAAACGUGAUACAAUGGCUGAAACAAAGGGCAGCGAAGCAGUGAUGUGAAGCGAAACCCAAAAAAGCAGUCUCAGUUCGGAUUGAAGUCUGCAACUCGACUUCAUGAAGUCGGAAUCGCUAGUAAUCGCGAAUCAGAACGUCGCGGUGAAUACGUUCUCGGGGUUUGUACACACCGCCCGUCA
RNAcentral lists this ribosomal RNA (1376 nucleotides) under uncultured bacterium. RNAcentral describes it as "bacterial SSU rRNA". It matches the Rfam family "Bacterial small subunit ribosomal RNA". The record is from RNAcentral.